This 102-nucleotide ribosomal RNA is filed under the name Paraclostridium sordellii. The record is from RNAcentral. Lineage: Bacteria; Bacillati; Bacillota; Clostridia; Peptostreptococcales; Peptostreptococcaceae.
AAGAGGAUACACCUGUUCCCAUUCCGAACACAGAAGUUAAGCUCUUUAGCGCCGAUGGUACUUGGUGGGAAGCUGCCUGGGAGAGUAGGACGUAGCCACGUA